This 500-nucleotide ribosomal RNA is filed under the name Creolandreva crepitans. Its description in RNAcentral is "partial 16S ribosomal RNA". It matches the Rfam family "Archaeal large subunit ribosomal RNA", at positions 1911 to 2651 of the family's 2987-position model. The record is from RNAcentral. Lineage: Eukaryota; Metazoa; Arthropoda; Insecta; Orthoptera; Gryllidae.
CUUCAUGUAAAAAAUAUGAAAUCGUGCCUGCUCACUGAUUAUUAAAGAGCCGCGGUAAUUUGACCGUGCAAAGGUAGCAUAAUCAUUAGUCUUUUAAUUGAGGGCUGGAAUGAAUGGUUUGACGAAAUAAUAACUGUCUCGUUAUUAGUAAUUGAAUUUUACUUUUAAGUUAAAAGGCUUAAAUUUUGGAAGGGGACGAGAAGACCCUAUAGAUCUUUAUAAAUGUAUGUUUUUAUAUUGAUUGGUAAGUAUGUGAUGAUUAUUGUGUAUGUAAAAAUUGAUAUUUAUUUUGUUGGGGUGACAAAAGAAUAUAAAAACUUCUUUAAAUAUAAACUUUGAUGAGUGGAUGUUUGAUCCUUUAUUAUGGAAAAUAAGAUUAAGAUACCUUAGGGAUAACAGCGUAAUUUUAUUUGAGAGUUCUUAUUGACAAUAAAGAUUGCGACCUCGAUGUUGGAUUAAGAUAAUAUGUUAAUGCAGUAGUUAACUAUAUUGGUCUGUUC